RNAcentral lists this long non-coding RNA (865 nucleotides) under Hordeum vulgare. RNAcentral's name for it is "long non-coding RNA (HVUL_LNC019856)". The record is from RNAcentral. Lineage: Eukaryota; Viridiplantae; Streptophyta; Magnoliopsida; Poales; Poaceae.
ACUCAUCGAACCCAAGCUACCUGCCAAAUUGGUAGAGGCUAGGGUUCUACCAGGUCUCGGGCGUAGGUUGUAGGGGUGGAAGUGCGGGCUGCGAGGUUGGGGACGCCAGCGCCGGCGGUUGGGCGCCGUCGCGGCGUGAGAGAGAGAGAGAGAGGCGGCUAGGGUUUGGGGCUCUCGUCUCCUGAGGGAGACGACAACAGAAUAUACUGUUUAUUGUCUGCUUAAUAUCGAAGGGGUACAUGUGUUUAUAUAGGAGGACAGCCUCCACUAAACCCUAGAUAACUUGGACUCUAACUUGGACUCUAAUAUAACUUGGACUCUAAUAUAACUUGGACUCUAAGAUAGGUAAGAUAACUUGGGCUAAGCCCGUAAUUAACCCUGCCCAUUGGGCCUCCUCCGUUGGUACGUUGUACCGGUCAUAACAUGCUUUCCUAACAGUUGCCACCCAACGAGGCAUUUGACUGAAACUCAUCUUGAAACCCCAACAUUGUUCAGAUUUAAAUGCAGAAAUGCACUGAACUUCGCGUCAAAACAGAUUGACAGCUACGAUCAGGCCCUGCAUUUGAGUGUGAGGAGUUGUUCUCGGCCUACAAUCAGUUCGCCAUUCUGCCCAACGUUGCAUAUUAUUUCCACUAAAGAACUUUAUCACUCAGAGUACUGGUCCUCAGGAUCUUGUGUCAAACUGACAUCUUAACAUGUUAAAACCCUAGAGUGGGAAACAGAUACAACCACGUUAGGAAAAAACAUGGUGAUCUUGGGGCGGUUUGUUCUGUCCCUGUUUAGGCAAAAACUGGUACUGAUUAUCAUUGUAUGGACCUGCUAUCAGGCUUCGUUUAUGAAAUGAAUGGAGCCGCGGAGUUCUUUN